GAACUUAAGCAUAUCAAUAAGCGGAGGAAAAGAAACUAACAAGGAUUCCCUCAGUAACUGCGAGUGAAGUGGGAAAAGCUCAAAUUUGAAAUCUGGCAGCUCUUUCAGGUUGUCCGAGUUGUAAUCUAGAGAAGUGUUACCUGUGUUGGACCGUGUAAAAGUCUUCUGGAAUGGAGCAUCAUAGAGGGUGAGAAUCCCGUCUUUGACAUGGACUACCAGCAUGCCAAGGUGCACUCUCAAAGAGUCGAGUUGUUUGGGAAUGCAGCUCAAAGUGGGUGGUAAAUGCCAUCUAAAGCUAAAUAUUGGCGAGAGACCGAUAGCGAACAAGUACCGUGAGGGAAAGAUGAAAAGAACUUUGGAAAGAGAGUUAAACAGUACGUGAAAUUGCUGAAAGGGAAACGCUUAAAGUCAGUCGCAUUAGCUGGAAAUCAGGCUUGCUUUUGCAAGGUGCACUUUCUAGUCGAUGGGUCAGCAUCAAUUUUAAUCGUUGGAUAAAGUCAUUGGGAAUGUGGCAUCUUUGGAUGUGUUAUAGCCCAGUGUUGAAUACAGCGGUCAGGAUUGAGGAAUUCAGCAUGCCUCUAGGGGCCAGGUUUCGACCAUGUUCAUGCUUAGGAUGCUGGCAUAAUGGCUUUAAUCGACCCGUCUUGAAACACGGACCAAGGAGUCUAACAUGCCUGCGAGUGUUUGGGUGAAAAACCCAUACGCACAAUGAAAGUGAAAGUUGAGAUCCUUAGGGAGCAUUGACGCCCGGACCAGACCUUCUGUGACGGAUCCGCGGUAGAGCAUGUAUGUUGGGACCCGAAA
This 804-nucleotide ribosomal RNA is filed under the name uncultured fungus. RNAcentral describes it as "eukaryotic LSU rRNA". It matches the Rfam family "Eukaryotic large subunit ribosomal RNA", at positions 30 to 821 of the family's 3401-position model. Lineage: Eukaryota; Fungi. The record is from RNAcentral.